This 126-nucleotide small RNA is filed under the name Marmota monax (woodchuck). Lineage: Eukaryota; Metazoa; Chordata; Mammalia; Rodentia; Sciuridae. The record is from RNAcentral.
GCUGGGUGUGGUGGUGCACGCCUGAAAUCCCAGAAGCCCGGGAGGCUGAAGCAGGAGGAUCUCGAGUUCAGAGCCAGCCUCAGCAAUUUAGGGAGGCCUGAGCAACUCUGUGAGAUCCUGUCUCUA